GGCAGGUCAAUGUACUGUGCUCCAGCUUCAGCAUCAGAGAAGACAUCGACUGUCAUCACGAAGAAACACAUCAGGUAAGUCAGUAGCAAAGCGACCGAACUCACAUCGGCGACUUUUCACGUUUCACGCGUCAGGAAGAACCGCCGAUUGUUGUCGGAGUUCGGGUUGCACAUACCCAGAAACUUAACUGGCGCAAGAAUGAAUGUGGGUUUGAAGAAACUGCUGUAUCAGGUUUAAACUGGAUUUAUUGGCGUUGGAUAAUCCUGGAUACAGUCGCCAGGCUGCGACACCAUAUGGGGGUCACUUUGCGGCGAUUUUCUUUCCGUCAGUCGGAACGUCACUGGUUUGACCGAGCUCACAUGUUUUCAUCUGAUCUGCGCAUCGAAGGGAGUGUCCUUCAGCCACGAUAAAUAUGAGAUGCGUUUUCAGACUGAAGAAGCCGUCGACUUUUUGUUUCGAUUUUCCCACGAGGACUCAUUACCGAACUGAAAACGCAAAUUCCGGCGUCGCUAUGCCUCGUUGUAAUUUCUUGCACCAAAUGACUCGCGGUCAUGCGUACUUUCAGUCUUACUGCGUUGUUUGUUGAGUUGUGCAACUGCAGUAAACACCCGGAACUCUGUUGUGCGUCCUCCACGAUCGACGACAUUGAAACAUCGGAUUAAGACCCGUGCAUUUAUAUGCAGAUCUGUGUUACAGAAGACAUCAAGAAUACCAACAUUACAGGCCCCUGCUCAUAUCCUGUGCCUCAUCAUGGCGAGUGGGUGAAACAAAGAACAGUGCGCGACUGAAAUCGAAAUAAUUGUUACAGCGACUGCAUAACCUUCCAGUUUGGUUGAACUGUUUUAUCUAUGCUACUGAAACUUGCCUUGAUCAUCUGGCCCCUAUUCUGCUCUGGGUCCCAGCCAACCUGUGACAGCACCUUGAUGCCUGAC
Cryptotermes secundus is the source of this 932-nucleotide long non-coding RNA. RefSeq lists it as uncharacterized. The record is from RefSeq and is a predicted model, not a curated record. The transcript is spliced from 3 exons. NCBI's taxonomy places the organism in Eukaryota, Metazoa, Arthropoda, Insecta, Blattodea, Kalotermitidae.